GAUGAAGAACGCAGCAAAAUGCGAUAAGUAAUGUGAAUUGCAGAAUUCAGUGAAUCAUCGAAUCUUUGAACGCACAUUGCGCCCGCCAGUAUUCUGGCGGGCAUGCCUGUUCGAGCGUCAUUUCAACCCUCAAGCUCAGCUUGGUGUUGGGACUCGCGGUAACCCGCGUUCCCCAAAUCGAUUGGCGGCCACGUCGAGCUUCCAUAGCGUAGUAAUCAUACACCUCGUUACUGGUAAUCGUCGCGGCCACGCCGUAAAACCCCAACUUCUGAAUGUUGACCUCGGAUCAGGUAGGAAUACCCGCUGAACUUAAGCAUAUCAAUAAGCGGAGGA
This 333-nucleotide unclassified non-coding RNA is filed under the name soil metagenome. RNAcentral's name for it is "partial contains 5.8S ribosomal RNA, internal transcribed spacer 2, and large subunit ribosomal RNA". The stretch from base 1 to 120 matches the Rfam family "5.8S ribosomal RNA", at positions 35 to 154 of the family's 154-position model. The record is from RNAcentral.